AUUGAACGCUGGCGGCAGGCUUAACACAUGCAAGUCGAGCGGGGGAAGGUAGCUUGCUACCGGACCUAGCGGCGGACGGGUGAGUAAUGCUUAGGAAUCUGCCUAUUAGUGGGGGACAACAUCUCGAAAGGGAUGCUAAUACCGCAUACGUCCUACGGGAGAAAGCAGGGGAUCUUCGGACCUUGCGCUAAUAGAUGAGCCUAAGUCGGAUUAGCUAGUUGGUGGGGUAAAGGCCUACCAAGGCGACGAUCUGUAGCGGGUCUGAGAGGAUGAUCCGCCACACUGGGACGGAGGAACGGCCCAGACUCCUACGGGAGGCAGCAGUGGGGAAUAUUGGACAAUGGGGGGAACCCUGAUCCAGCCAUGCCGCGUGUGUGAAGAAGGCCUUAUGGUUGUAAAGCACUUUAAGCGAGGAGGAGGCUACUCUAGUUAAUACCUAGGGAUAGUGGACGUUACUCGCAGAAUAAGCACCGGCUAACUCUGUGCCAGCAGCCGCCGUAA
RNAcentral lists this ribosomal RNA (501 nucleotides) under uncultured bacterium. Its description in RNAcentral is "partial 16S ribosomal RNA". It matches the Rfam family "Bacterial small subunit ribosomal RNA", at positions 30 to 523 of the family's 1533-position model. The record is from RNAcentral.